UGGUCAUGUGGUCUAACAUCCAAAUGUUGUGAGUCUCUGUUAUCAGCUCUUUGUGCAGAACACUCAAAUCUGACUGUGCUGGACCUGACAGAGAAUAAUCUGACGGAUGCAGGUGCAAGGCUGUUGUGUGAGGCACUGAGAAACCCCAACUGCAAGUUAGAGAAAGUGAGGUUUAAAACCAUUGGGAUUAGCAAACCUCAGAAGAACGAUCUGAAAUCCUUAAAUGAAGAGCUGAGUUCAUCUGGACGGCACAUAGAGAUCAUUACAUGAGAUGAUCAGCCUAAGUCUAUCAGGUCUAUGUAUCCUGAUGGUUCUAUUUUUAUUGUUAUAACACUGAACAUUUUUUAAAUAAAUGAGAGAAAAAGGAAAGACCACAAUAUUAGAACAUUAUAACAAUCUAAACAAGAACAGGCCAUUCAGCCCAAGAAAGCUCACCAGUCAUAGCCACUUAAUCUUCUAAAAUUACAACUACUUGGUAACUUAUUCCAUCUGUCUAUUGCUCUGUAUGUGAAGAAAAAUUUUUACCUUUAACAAGUUUCAAACUGUUCCCCUGUAUUGUUGAUGAACUCAUUUUAAAAUAGUGUCAGUCCACUGUACUAAUUCCCUUCAUAAUUUUAAACACUUCAGUCAUGUUUCUGCUCUUAAUCUCCUUUUGCUUAAACUGAAAAUGCUCUGCUCUUUUAAUUCUUCCACAUAAUUCAUCCCCUGUUGCCCUGAAAUGAGCCUAGUUGCUCUUCUCUGUACCUUUCUAGUGCUAUUAUGUCCUUUUUGUAGCCUGGAGACCAAAACUGCACACAGGACUCCAGAUAAUGCAUCUCCAGUAUGUUAUAAAGCUUGAGCAGAAUCUCCUUGGACUUGUACUCCACACAUUGUUCUAUUUUCUUUUAGCUUUGUGAACACUGUUUGGCAGCUGACAGUGUCAAGUCCACUACUGUAUGUGUUUGUGACAGUGCGGGUCCGCUCCUUGCUCCCUCUUUCAAUUUGGAAGCAUUUUAAACCUGACACUGUCAAUACCAUAACCAAGAUGAGCUUGGCAGAUAAGGACAAAACACACAUGAAGCAAGGGGAUGGUGAGAAGCACUUUUAUUAAAAAUCUCAAAAUCAAACUGUUCCAAAAAGUGCAGUGCUCAAACUGUUGUUACAUAAAUUAAAUAAUCCAUAAAAGUAGUGAAAGUGGAGGUUAAAACAAUCUCAGUGAAUAUCCAUUAAAAUCAGAGGUUAAAAUACAAGCAGGAAACUUUAUUUUUAAAAGCAGUAGCCUCAAUGUCCCUUUAAAAACUGACUCCUCCUAGUCUUAUCCCUUCCCACAUCUUGCAGACGGAGAAGUCUACCAGCAGACUCAGACAACCUUAUGCCCUGACUUGUGUCCCCGUCACCACUUCCUAGGGGAGCCACGAGCCCUGCUCCGCUCAUACCGCUGCCCAUUCGUCGGCACUUCCCGGCAUAGCUCCCUGUCCUCCCACCGCUGCCAGUCUGUCGGCUCUUCCCAGCGAAAGCACAUUCCUGAGCACAACGGUCACUCCUGCUACUUGGUCACUCAGCAGGAGUCACCAUUCAGCCCCCUCCUGAGUGCUGGCCACAUGCGCUUCUUCCUGGAGCUCCAUACCCGUCCGUCUGCCUCCUUUCCGCGCAAUGGAGCUCUCUCUCAAACUCCUUCCUCUCUUGUUCUCACUUUAGCUUCCAUCCUUUGUUCUUCUUUUCGUCUCUUUUUUAAUUUUCCACCCCUCACACUCACACCUUCCUUUGUUAACAGGGAUAUGGCACAGCUGCGACAAUCAGAAGCUCCUGGUGCACAUUAGGGUCAUGGGCGACCCUGCACCUGUGCACUAAGUGCAGGGCCACCCACUCCUGAAUCACACACAGGAACCGCACGCUACCACGAAACACCGCACCAGCACAAAGACGCAAGUGCUACGAUUGUUUGCUUUAAAUGCUGCCAUGUGUAAUAUCUUCAUAGGCAUGCUUGGUCUUACAUUAAUGCUAAUGUUAUGGUGAAUCAUUCAGGGUUAUUUUCAGAAAGGUAUAUUUAUGCAUAUUAAAUAAUGAAGCAGACGCCAGGUAUGCUUUCCAAAAGGUAAUGCCAUGGUUGUUAUGGCAUACAAAGUGUCAGCCUGUUUUCUGUGUUUCUUGGAAUGAAACUGGUGUUAAAUUUUGUGAUGAUCUUGUGCUCGCACAUUUGAAUGAGCUAUGAUCUCUGACGGACUUUAGGUUCUCAGUGUAUGAAAAGCAUAAGUUUGGGUGUACAAAAUAAACAUAAGUGUUUCUGUCUUUCUGCAUGCAUAUCCAUGACUUUCUAGCAUUUUUUUAUUUUUCUGUUUUUAUAGCUUUAUUCUUUUACUGUAUAUAAUUUUUGAGUUUGCUAUUGAUAAAUUGUCAAUUAUUGAACUGAUUAUUUGCCUGCUAUCAAUGUAGUUAAUGCUGA
Molecule: long non-coding RNA, 2422 nt
Organism: Erpetoichthys calabaricus (reedfish)
Lineage: Eukaryota; Metazoa; Chordata; Cladistia; Polypteriformes; Polypteridae
Exons: 3
Source: RefSeq, a predicted model, not a curated record